UUGUGAGGAAAUAUUUCUUGGUACAUAGAAUACAAGGAUCACCAUGAAUAUCUUAUUUGGUUUCCCCAAAUAAGAAGCCCCGAAAGACUUGCUCCCGCCCUGCCCCGUCCAGCAGACGUCAUCAGGUUAGGGCUGAAACGAAUGACGCUCCUUCGCGUGAGCCAGCCUACCCUGGCGCGUAUUACAGCUUGAUCGAUUGGAAGGGUCCCACGCGCUUGUUACAUAAACAGCACUUGUGUACAUGAGCUCUUCCAGAAAAAGAAAAUAGGAACAAGAAGGUUGCCAUACUUCAAGGAAUGGUGUGACAUACCUGAGAUGAUUUUCAGCUACUAAGAUCUGCCAACAGGAAUCUAAAAAUGGCCAGAAGCCACCUGCAAAGCAAAGAAGAUUGAGAACACGUUGGUGAGACUGGAGAAACAACCUACCAGCCUCUGAAUAAGCAAGUAAAAACAAACAACUUGGAGAUUCUUAUACUUCUGACUAUGACAACUCAUGCUUACUACAAAAGAAGGGGGAGUGAAGCUUCUUCAGCCUCACUGUUAUUUCUUUGUGAAUGUACAGCAAGAUUGGCCUUUUCUGAUUUUUCUGGAAAUCUUAAAGGAAGAAUAUUGUAAACUUCCAUCGAUUGUAAGGAGCUCAUGUUCUUGUUAAAAACCUCUCAGAUUCUUUGAAAAACUUCUCAUAAAUAAUAAUUAUGGCUCUGCAAGCUUACACACAUUUUCUGGAGUGCAAGACCCACAGCAUAGUCUGAAGGCCUGUGAUGAAGUAAACUUGCUGAAGCUAAGCGGGUCUGGGCUGGGCAUGGUGAGUGCCUAGAUAGGAGACUGUCUGGAAACCCUAAGUACUGUAUGUUGCCUUGAGCUCCCUGGGGGAAAGGCAGAAAGUAAAUGUAUGUAACAAACAAUCUCAAUGAGACUUACUUUCAGGUAAACAUGCAUGGAAUUGGGCUGCACGGAACAUGUGACAUACAUACAAAUGAAUUUAU
Molecule: long non-coding RNA, 985 nt
Organism: Hemicordylus capensis (graceful crag lizard)
Lineage: Eukaryota; Metazoa; Chordata; Lepidosauria; Squamata; Cordylidae
Exons: 4
Source: RefSeq, a predicted model, not a curated record